This is a non-coding RNA of Mycena leptocephala, 97 nucleotides long. The record is from the annotation of a GenBank genome assembly. Lineage: Eukaryota; Fungi; Basidiomycota; Agaricomycetes; Agaricales; Mycenaceae.
GACCCAAUGGCACAGCGGUUAGUGUAUCUGUUGAAAAUGUGUGGUUGGUUUUCAUUCGAGUAAAGAGGAGUCCCUCGUUUGAACCGGGGUUGGGUCA